Molecule: long non-coding RNA, 356 nt
Organism: Oncorhynchus tshawytscha (Chinook salmon)
Lineage: Eukaryota; Metazoa; Chordata; Actinopteri; Salmoniformes; Salmonidae
Source: Ensembl
GUUAGUUUUGGGUUAGUUUGGGGUCAGUGUUGGGUUAGUUUAGGGUCAGUGUUGGGUUAGUUUAUGGUUAGUGUGUGGUUAGUGUGUGGUUAGUUUUGGGUUAGAGUUGGGUUAGUGCUGGUUUAGGUUGGGUUAGUGCUGGGUUAGUGUUGGGUUAGUGUUGGGUCAGUGUUGGGUUAGUUUUGGGUUAGUGUUGGUUUAGGUUGGGUUAGUCCUGGGUCAGUGUUGGGUCAGUGUUGGGUCAGUGUUGGGUCAUGCUGGGUUAGUGCUGGGUUAGUGCUGGGUUAGUGCUGGGUUAGUGUGUAGUUAGUGUUGGGUUAGUGUUGGGUCAGUGUUGGGUCAGUGUUGGGUCAGUG